Molecule: ribosomal RNA, 451 nt
Filed under: uncultured bacterium
Lineage: Bacteria
Description: partial 16S ribosomal RNA
Rfam family: Bacterial small subunit ribosomal RNA
Source: RNAcentral
GUGGGGAAUAUUGGACAAUGGGGGGAACCCUGAUCCAGCCAUGCCGCGUGUGUGAAGAAGGCCUUUUGGUUGUAAAGCACUUUAAGCGAGGAGGAGGCUACCGAGAUUAAUACUCUUGGAUAGUGGACGUUACUCGCAGAAUAAGCACCGGCUAACUCUGUGCCAGCAGCCGCGGUAAUACAGAGGGUGCAAGCGUUAAUCAGAUUUACUGGGCGUAAAGCGCGCGUAGGUGGCCAAUUAAGUCAAAUGUGAAAUCCCCGAGCUUAACUUGGGAAUUGCAUUCGAUACUGGUUGGCUAGAGUAUGGGAGAGGAUGGUAGAAUUCCAGGUGUAGCGGUGAAAUGCGUAGAGAUCUGGAGGAAUACCGAUGGCGAAGGCAGCCAUCUGGCCUAAUACUGACACUGAGGUGCGAAAGCAUGGGGAGCAAACAGGAUUAGAAACCCGGGUAGUCC